CCACCAUCUGCUGUCCUCCUCCACCCUCGCCACCAUCUGCUGUCCUCGCCACCGUCGUCACUCUCUCUCCGCCAUCGUCAACAGCACGAUGUCACCAAGUCAUCGAACCAUCACGCUCAGCCACCAUUGUCGACCUCGAGCCACCAAGCUUCUUCAGCCUCCUCCACCUUCUUUAACUAAGAACAUAAAAACAAAUACACAGAGAGAAUCGAAUACAUAAGAACAACAAAAAAUCAAAAUCAAAACAUAGAGAGUGACAUUUGAGAAGCUUCUGACAUUUGACGGAUCAGAUCUCGUACUUCACUCAUCAGACUAAAUACAGAGAGAGAAGAGAGAGGUGACCUUAGUGGUGGUAAAAUGUGUGUUGGAAUGGAAGGUAGUGGUGAGGAUGAGCGCCUCGGUGGUGGUUGUGGUAGCGAUGAGUUGAGAGGAGGCGUACGGAGGCAAGUUUCAGAGACUUGGUUGUCCUCUCCAUGAUUCUUCUUCUCUCAACUCUUGGACUCAAACUCCAAAUCAAUUUCUGCCACACCGCCUUGCACCACCGGAGAGGAGAAGACCAGAGAAGAACGGAAAAAAACGAAGAGGGGAUGAACAGAGAAGACACCACGCCUUGCACUACCGAAUAAGAAAGAGGAGAUGAGAUUCGUAGAGGGAAAGAAGAGAUGAAG
Molecule: long non-coding RNA, 668 nt
Filed under: Brassica napus (rape)
Lineage: Eukaryota; Viridiplantae; Streptophyta; Magnoliopsida; Brassicales; Brassicaceae
Description: long non-coding RNA (BNAP_LNC024929)
Source: RNAcentral